CACCUUUUGACAUGCCUGGACAUCACGGGAGACCGUGCUUUCCCUUCGGGGACUGGGACACAGGUGCUGCAUGGCUGUCGUCAGCUCGUGUCGUGAGAUGUUGGGUUAAGUCCCGCAACGAGCGCAACCCUCGCUGUUAGUUGCCAUCAUUCAGUUGGGAACUCUAACAGGACUGCCGGUGCUAAGCCGGAGGAAGGUGGGGAUGACGUCAAGUCCUCAUGGCCCUUACAGGGUGGGCUACACACGUGCUACAAUGGCGACUACAGAGGGUAAAUCCCUAAAAGUCGUCUCAGUUCGGAUUGUCCUCUGCAACUCGAGGGCAUGAAGUUGGAAUCGCUAGUAAUCGCGGAUCAGCAUGCCGCGGUGAAUACGUUCCC
RNAcentral lists this ribosomal RNA (377 nucleotides) under uncultured bacterium. RNAcentral's name for it is "bacterial SSU rRNA". It matches the Rfam family "Bacterial small subunit ribosomal RNA", at positions 975 to 1375 of the family's 1533-position model. The record is from RNAcentral.